CGCUUUGCACAGUGGCAGUAUUGUAGCUAAUGAGGUUUAUCCGAGGUGCAAUUAUUGCUAAUUGAAAAAUUUCCCAAUACCUCGCCAUGACGACUUGAAAUAUAGACAGCAUCAGCAAUUUUUGAUGGUCUCUACGGAGA
Cebus imitator (Panamanian white-faced capuchin) is the source of this 140-nucleotide small nuclear RNA. Its record names the gene U4. It matches the Rfam family "U4 spliceosomal RNA". Rfam says of the family: U4 small nuclear RNA (U4 snRNA) is a component of the major U2-dependent spliceosome. The structure of U4 snRNA from yeast and human has been reported. NCBI's taxonomy places the organism in Eukaryota, Metazoa, Chordata, Mammalia, Primates, Cebidae. The record is from Ensembl.